CUAGUAAGAUCCCUGAAAGAUGAUCAGGUAGAUAGGUUCGAGGUGGAAGCGUGGCGACACGUGGAGCUGACGAAUACUAAUCGAUCGAGGACUUAACCAA
RNAcentral lists this ribosomal RNA (100 nucleotides) under Pseudobacillus badius. RNAcentral's name for it is "Bacillus badius partial 23S ribosomal RNA". It matches the Rfam family "Bacterial large subunit ribosomal RNA", at positions 2825 to 2925 of the family's 2925-position model. The record is from RNAcentral. Lineage: Bacteria; Bacillati; Bacillota; Bacilli; Caryophanales; Bacillaceae.